UACGGAGGGUGCAAGCGUUAUCCGGAUUCACUGGGUUUAAAGGGUGCGUAGGUGGGCAAGUAAGUCAGUGGUGAAAUCUCCGGGCUUAACCCGGAAACUGCCAUUGAUACUAUUUGUCUUGAAUACUGUGGAGGUCAGCGGAAUAUGUCAUGUAGCGGUGAAAUGCUUAGAUAUGACAUAGAACACCAAUUGCGAAGGCAGCUGGCUACACAAAUAUUGGCACUGAGGCACGAAAGCGUGGGGAUCAAACAGG
RNAcentral lists this ribosomal RNA (253 nucleotides) under uncultured bacterium. Its description in RNAcentral is "partial 16S ribosomal RNA". It matches the Rfam family "Bacterial small subunit ribosomal RNA", at positions 524 to 776 of the family's 1533-position model. The record is from RNAcentral.